Long non-coding RNA from Cyprinus carpio carpio, 2834 nucleotides. Lineage: Eukaryota; Metazoa; Chordata; Actinopteri; Cypriniformes; Cyprinidae. The record is from Ensembl.
AUGAGCUUCUCCCAGGCAGAUGAGCCACAAGAUGCUUGGGGUGAACACUCACCUGACAUUCAAGAGAAUGCAUUUUCUGUGCUGAGACCUUCAAGUUCCAAGCAAGAAAGAACACAGCCUGUUCCUGUGAGCUUGUCCAAUGAAAAUGAGCAAGAGGAUGCUUGGGGUGAACACCCAUCUAACUUUCAAGAGAACACAAUCUCUGAACAGAGACCCUCAAGUACCUACCAGGCAAGAACAAAUAGUGCUUCUGGUGUGAGACGAUGGAGCUGCAUCACUAAUCAAUGUACACCUGUUGAGAGGACAAUUCUGGAGGCACUUAACGAACUGGACCUGAAGAUCAAUCAUCUGUCUUCAGUGGUCCAGUCUCUUGCAGCUAACAGUCGUUCCAGUGCUCCAGUGCUGCUGGUGGACAGCGAGGAUGAUGUCUUUCCUCUCACAACCAUGGAGGAACUAGACAAACUGGAAAGACAAUUAUCAGAAAAAGAAAUGAUGCAAAAGAUGGUAAAAAUCAUUGACAUUUGAAGGUUUAACAGUUGUAGUGAAGUAAAUAAUGUCUAUUAUAUACCCGGUUUCACAGACGAGGUUUAAGGCUAGUCCCAGACUAAAACGCAUGUGUGAGCUGUCUUAACUGAAAAUAACUUGAAAUGACAUUCCUUACAAUAUGUCAGUGCCAUUGUUUCAUCUCAAGAUGCACACAUGCAGCAUUUUUAUAAAAGCAAAACUAGGACCUAUAGUCCUGACUUAAACUAAUCCCUGUUCUGAGCUCAGUAGUAACUGACUAUAUGUAAUCUGGAUUGCGUAAACAGAUUCUAGUAAAUAAAGAACUUGUAAUUAGAUUAAAUAAAAUUUUAUAAAACUCAUAAUCAGACUACAGUUACUUUUUUAUGGAUUACAUGAUUAAAUAUUAUUUACAAAAUAGCAAUAGAUUAUUCCGAAUUUAAUUUCCUAAUUCCUCUUUUUAAUCUUUUAAAUUUUCCUUUCUAAAAUAGCAGGCUGCUUAUAUACAUUCAGAAAGUCUUCAGGUUUUCUGGACAUUCACACAGAGAUCCGUCAUUAGUCAGGUGGCAGCGUUUAACCACUGGAUUUACAAAAAUAAUUUCAUGUUUAAGAACAUAGGAUCAGCAUCAACACAUUGAUUUUUAUUUGAAUCAUUCCUCUGUAGGUUGUUUAACCAUGUAUUUCUAUGUCUUUGGAUGACUUUAGUCUUUUAAACACAUUAAAAUGCACAAAUUUACAAACUUUUUUUGUCAUCUGAUCCUCUUUCACCUAAUAUAUUUACUUAAAAGUACUCAUGAGAUUUUAAAAUAUAUUUUUUUAAUAAUUAAAAGAAGGACCCUUCUGCCUGCAUUUGAGUCUUCGCCUCUUUCUCACCGUGAGACUUAUAAUGUUUUCAUAGUUAAAAUACAUUGUUGUAACGUUGAACGAAAUGUUCUCAUAACAACGUUGUUGUAACAUCUUUAUGAUGUUAUUUUUACUUGACUGAUGUUCUCAUAAUGUUGAGUGAAAACGUUCUCAUAACAACAUUCUUGUAACGUCUUUAUAAUGUUAUUUUUACUUGACUGAUGUUCUCAUAACAACGUUCUUGUAACGUGUUUAUGGUGUUAUUUUUACUUGACUGAUGUUCUCAUAAUGUUGAACAAAAACAUUCUUAAAACACCAUUCUUGGAAUGCCUUCAUUUUAGAAGUGAUGGGAACAGAAAUUACGAAUCUGACCAGUCCUAGACAGCAUGUAGUAAUCGGCCCGAGCUCGGCUGGCCCUCAGCAUCGGCGAGUGUUAUCCGGGCUGAGUAUGGCCCACAGCUCGCUCUCGCGCAUUUGUUUGUGAUGCGCCCAUAAAGCACUGGACCGAUUCCUGUUCACCGUAACUGGCCCAAGUCUGGCUGUAGAGUCCGGGCCACUUCUGGCAAUGACUCGGCUCGGUUCAGUAGAUGGUUACAUUAAUAUAGAAAUAAUUAACAUAAAACUGUUUUAAACUUGACUUAAGAUCUUAACAGUAUCUUAUAAUGUUAAUUACAUGUCUACUGUCGUGAAUUUGUCAAAAACAAAUUAUCUGCGAUAAAAUAUAAAAUAAAAAAUAAAUAAAAAAGUGCAGCUCAUUAUGUGGGUCUUUGUCUUCUCAGGAGUGAAUCACACUAAUAUUCAUGAUAGUUGACGCCUACUCGCAUAUGCCCUUUACAAACAAAAAGUGUCUUAAAAAAUUUUAAUCAAUAUGUUGUUUUCUGUGAGUGAGUAAACAAGAUGAUUUUCACAUCAUUUUGAAACAAAAAUUCUAGGCUACAAGCUCUUGUGAACAAAUGGUCUUGUGAACAAAUGUUUUGUAUGUGUUUUAUGACCUUAUUUCAGUGACUUUAAAAUUGUACUUUUUUACUAACCAUGCAUAAAUGUUGUUUUCUCAAAAACACAAUCAUGUACAUACAUGCUAUUUACAUAUUAUUGUAGCCCAGUUUGUACUGAUUACAGUGUUAUUAGACUUUAGCCAUGUAUCUAUUUAUAAGCAACUGAAAAAAGCACAAAAGUCAGGGGAUGUCAAAACUUCUCCAGGCCCUCAAAAUUCCCUAGACCUCAGAGGUUUAAGUAUAAUGGCGUUAAUAACGGAGUUUAUUUUUCAGUAACGGAGUAAUCUAAUUAAUUACUAUUCCCAUCGUUGCAACCGUUAUCUUUGCUGAGAAUGUAAAGUGUCCCGUUACUACAAUUUGGUUGAAUAAAGCGCAAGGUGUCAUGCUUUGGCUACACAUCAGCUGCCUGGAGAGAGCAGGGGUGGGGAUGAUGACACUGUUGCAAAUGCGAUGAUGAUUGGCUGGGUGGGUGGUGCCCUGCUCACACUGUCUCAC